ACUCCUACGGGCGGCAGCAGUGGGGAAUAUUGGACAAUGGGCGCAAGCCUGAUCCAGCCAUGCCGCGUGAGUGAUGAAGGCCCUAGGGUUGUAAAGCUCUUUCACCGGUGAAGAUAAUGACGGUAACCGGAGAAGAAGCCCCGGCUAACUUCGUGCCAGCAGCCGCGGUAAUACGAAGGGGGCUAGCGUUGUUCGGAUUUACUGGGCGUAAAGCGCACGUAGGCGGACUAUUAAGUCAGGGGUGAAAUCCCGGGGCUCAACCCCGGAACUGCCUUUGAUACUGGUAGUCUUGAGUUCGAGAGAGGUGAGUGGAAUUCCGAGUGUAGAGGUGAAAUUCGUAGAUAUUCGGAGGAACACCAGUGGCGAAGGCGGCUCACUGGCUCGAUACUGACGCUGAGGUGCGAAAGCGUGGGGAGCAAACAGGAUUAGAUACCCCUGUAGUCCC
Molecule: ribosomal RNA, 445 nt
Filed under: uncultured organism
Description: partial 16S ribosomal RNA
Rfam family: Bacterial small subunit ribosomal RNA
Source: RNAcentral